UACGUAGGGGGCAAGCGUUAUCCGGAUUUAUUGGGUUUAAAGGGUGCGCAGGCGGCACGGCAAGCCGGCGGUCAAAUCGCGGGGCUCAACCCCGCCCAGCCGUCGGAACUGCCGGGCUAGAGUGGGCGAGAAGUGCGCGGAAUGCGUGGUGUAGCGGUGAAAUGCAUAGAUAUCACGCAGAACUCCGAUUGCGAAGGCAGCGCACCGGCGCCCUACUGACGCUCAGGCACGAAAGCGUGGGUAUCGAACAGG
Molecule: ribosomal RNA, 252 nt
Filed under: uncultured bacterium
Lineage: Bacteria
Description: partial 16S ribosomal RNA
Rfam family: Bacterial small subunit ribosomal RNA
Source: RNAcentral